RNAcentral lists this ribosomal RNA (424 nucleotides) under uncultured bacterium. RNAcentral's name for it is "partial 16S ribosomal RNA". It matches the Rfam family "Bacterial small subunit ribosomal RNA", at positions 360 to 776 of the family's 1533-position model. The record is from RNAcentral.
AAUUUUCCGCAAUGGGCGCAAGCCUGACGGAGCGACGCCGCGUGAGCGAAGAAGGCCUUCGGGUUGUAAAGCUCUGUCUUCAGGGACGAAAGCUUCCCAGAGGGAAUGCUGGGGAGAUGACGGUACCUGAGGAGGAAGCCCCGGCUAACUACGUGCCAGCAGCCGCGGUAAAACGUAGGAUCCGAGCGUUAUCCGAAUUCACUGGGCGUAAAGCGCAUGCAGGCGGCCGCACAAGUUGGAUGUGAAAUCUCCCGGCUCAACUGGGAGGGGACGUUCAAAACUGUGCGGCUCGAGGGCGGUAGAGGAAGGUAGAAUUCCCGGUGUAGUGGUGAAAUGCGUAGAUAUCGGGAGGAAUACCCGUGGCGAAGGCGACCUUCUGGACCGUUUCUGACGCCCAGAUGCGAAAGCUAGGGGAGCGAACGGG